AGCAGGGACUAUAAACUUUUGAUAGAUUUUUGUCUUUCUUUCCUGAGGAAUCAUUAGAUUUUUCACCAGAGAAAGGUUUCCCAUGAUUGUUCGAUAACCCCUCAGACCACUUGACAUCCCUUCAUUUUUUUUUAAACUUCUUCUGAAUUACUUAACAAAUAGGGCAAAAUCAUCCUUUGAAAAUUGUUCACAUGUGUCACUUGUAACUUCGUUGUGCUCAACACUUUGAAGAGCGUCAUAUUUUCCCUUCUUAGAGACACCUUCAUCCAUGCCAGUCAACUAACUUUCCGAGCUUGAUCUCACUUAAAUCAUAGAACUCUUGGAUGGCAACCUUCUUUGCUUGGAAUCUUUUGGGAUCUUAAGAUCUUUUAAACAAUUGUUGUUUCACUGAUAUGUUUCCCCAAUCCCAAAGCUUCAUUCGUCAACAUUUCAACUUUCUCAUAAAAGGUUGAGAAGGUUUCAAACUCAAGCAUUCUUAAAUCCUUACACUUUGAGAGGGUCAUUUGGAGCUUUAAAUCCCUCACUUGUUUGUCACCUUUAUGAAGAAUUCUAAGUUUAUCCCAAGCUUGCUUGGCAGUUGUGCAAUAACGAAUAUAAGCAAACUGAGUUGGUGAUAUGAUAGAUACAAUGGCAUUUCUUGCUUUCUUAUUUGCCAUGGUAGAUGUCACUUCACUAGAAGUCAAUUCACUUUUAGGUUUGAUCACCAGUUCCCCAUCAACAGCUCUAGAUGGAGCCCUCUACUCAAGGGUAAGGUAAUCAACAACAAGAAAGUCAUGUGCCUCAAGAAAUAUUUGAAACUUCUCACUCCAAGCUGUAUAGUUCAUGCCAUCAAAGUAUGGAGGAGAGUUACAUGAUCUAACAACACGAUCACGAUCCAUGAUGAUAGUCCACCUAAUAUACUAGCAAAAUCACAGAGAUUACUCUAUGUAUGUCUAGAGCAAGGCUCUGAUACUAUUUAAAAUUGGUACCAGGUUUAUUACCCUACAAUAAAACUUAAAACCAAUUGUACUGACUAGCCAAAUGUACUAGUCAACUGAGUACAGAUUGUUAGACCCCCAAGCAUAUAAACCAAACAAACUUAAAAGGUUAACACUUAACAAUGUGAACUUCAGUUAAGUUUUAGUCUUCGUACUUGAGUUCAGUUCACUUGAUUAAUUAAGUGUCAAUACUAGCAAACCCUACAAUGUUUAACUCCAACAAGAGAUAUGAAUAAAGCUUUGUAAAGUAUUGAACACAUUGAAGUUUUUUGUCGGAAAAACCCACCUCUGGUGUGGAGCCAAAAAUAAUCGAGAAAAAUAUGAAGGCGACACAAGGAUUCUUGGGUUAAAAAGACAAAAUUAUCCUCAAGACACACCGGAACUCCUACGAGCAAGCAGUGGAUAAUCACAACUCAAUCAAGGUCAAAAGUGAUCAAAAUAGGUAUUUAAUCAAAACUUAUUUCAUCUAUCCUCAUCAAAUCCUCCCCAUAAGGUAACCUUCAAUUAUUCAUUCAAAAUAAGAUUAAUUACCUAAAUUAAUUGAUUAAUUUCCUAAUUAAUUGAUUUUCUAAUUAUUUUUUUGAUUGAUUGCAAGAUAUUAUUUUGACAUAAUAUCUU
This 1595-nucleotide long non-coding RNA is filed under the name Malus domestica (apple). RNAcentral describes it as "long non-coding RNA (MDOM_LNC013171)". The record is from RNAcentral. Lineage: Eukaryota; Viridiplantae; Streptophyta; Magnoliopsida; Rosales; Rosaceae.